Molecule: ribosomal RNA, 498 nt
Filed under: uncultured bacterium
Lineage: Bacteria
Description: partial 16S ribosomal RNA
Rfam family: Bacterial small subunit ribosomal RNA
Source: RNAcentral
AUUGAACGCUGGCGGCAUGCCUUACACAUGCAAGUCGAACGGUAACAGGUCUUCGGAUGCUGACGAGUGGCGAACGGGUGAGUAAUACAUCGGAACGUGCCUAGUAGUGGGGGAUAACUACUCGAAAGAGUGGCUAAUACCGCAUGAGAUCUACGGAUGAAAGCAGGGGAUCGCAAGACCUUGUGCUACUAGAGCGGCCGAUGGCAGAUUAGGUAGUUGGUGGGAUAAAAGCUUACCAAGCCGACGAUCUGUAGCUGGUCUGAGAGGACGAUCAGCCAGACUGGGACUGAGACACGGCCCAGACUCCUAAGGGAGGCAGCAGUGGGGAAUUUUGGACAAUGGGCGAAAGCCUGAUCCAGCAAUGCCGCGUGCAGGAUGAAGGCCUUCGGGUUGUAAACUGCUUUUGUACGGAACGAAAAGCCCCGGGUUAAUACCCUGGGGUCAUGACGGUACCGUAAGAAUAAGCACCGGCUAACUACGUGCCAGCCGCCGCAGUAA